CCCUAGCCCCGAUUGCAAUGAAAAUCCUUUUUUGAAAAAAAAGAUUGUAAUGAAAAGCGGGAAAAAGC
This 68-nucleotide small RNA is filed under the name Chryseobacterium sp. RU37D. Its description in RNAcentral is "Flavo-1 RNA". It matches the Rfam family "Flavo-1 RNA". The record is from Rfam by way of RNAcentral. Lineage: Bacteria; Pseudomonadati; Bacteroidota; Flavobacteriia; Flavobacteriales; Weeksellaceae.